Molecule: transfer RNA, 72 nt
Filed under: Caudoviricetes sp.
Lineage: Duplodnaviria; Heunggongvirae; Uroviricota; Caudoviricetes
Description: tRNA-Arg
Rfam family: tRNA
About the family: Transfer RNA (tRNA) molecules are approximately 80 nucleotides in length. Their secondary structure includes four short double-helical elements and three loops (D, anti-codon, and T loops).
Source: RNAcentral
GCACCCAUCGUUCAAUGGAUAGGACAGCGGUCUUCUAAACCGCCAAUCUCAGUUCGAAUCUGAGUGGGUGUA